Molecule: ribosomal RNA, 1050 nt
Filed under: Triticum aestivum (bread wheat)
Lineage: Eukaryota; Viridiplantae; Streptophyta; Magnoliopsida; Poales; Poaceae
Description: partial small subunit ribosomal RNA
Source: RNAcentral
AUGGCUCAUAACCCGCGAUACAUCCGCCGCCUCCUCCUCGUCGCCGCCGCCGGGGCCUUCAUCUACAUCCAAGUGCGGCUCUUUUCUACCCAGUCUCAUGACGCCGGACGCCUCGCCCUCGCGGAAGCAGGUCAACCUAAUCUCCCCGUUGCCGCUGUUGUCAUAAUGGCUUGCAAUCGACCAGACUAUUUGCAGAGGACAGUUGAAUCUAUCCUCAAGUAUCAGAAAGCAGUUGCUUCAAAGUUCCCACUAUUUAUAUCACAGGAUGGAACAAAUGGAGAAGUUAAAAAUAAGGCCUUGAGUUAUGCCCAAAUAACAUUUAUGCAGCAUGUAGAUCUUGAACCUGUGCACACUGAAAGUCCAGGGGAAAACAUUGCAUAUUACAAGAUAGCUAACCACUAUAAAUGGGCAUUGGAUGAGCUACUUAUUAAGCAUAAUUUUCGUCGAGUAAUCAUUCUGGAAGAUGACAUGGAGAUCGCCCCAGAUUUCUUCGACUACUUUGAGGCUGCAGCGAAAUUACUUGAUACUGACAAGUCGAUAAUGGCUGUUUCUUCUUGGAAUGACAAUGGGCAGAAGCAGUUUGUUUAUGACCCAAAAGCUCUUUAUCGUUCGGACUUCUUUCCUGGGCUUGGAUGGAUGCUAACAAAGUCAACAUGGAUGGAGCUGUCACCAAAGUGGCCCAAAGCUUAUUGGGAUGAUUGGGUGAGGCUAAAGGAGGUACACGGAGGCCGGCAAUUUAUUCGACCAGAAGUAUGCAGAACAUACAACUUUGGCGAGCAUGGAUCAAGCAUGGGACAGUUCUUCGAUCAGUACUUGAAACCAAUCAAGUUAAAUGAUGCUCAUGCCCACAAUCUGGAUAUGGACGUAAGGAUUCAGUAUAACGACCAGGGCGAUUUCGAGCGUGUAGCUCGUCAGUUUGGAGUAUUUGAAGAGUGGAAGGACGGUGUUCCACGGGCAGCUUACAAAGGCGUGGUGGUCUUCCGAUACAAGAGCAGUCGAAGACGAAUAUACCUUGUCGGCCCUGACUCUCUUCGUCAACUCGGGGUUUAA